RNAcentral lists this unclassified non-coding RNA (400 nucleotides) under Mizuhopecten yessoensis (Yesso scallop). RNAcentral's name for it is "uncharacterized LOC110459509, transcript variant X7". Lineage: Eukaryota; Metazoa; Mollusca; Bivalvia; Pectinida; Pectinidae. The record is from RNAcentral.
GAUAAAAGAAAUCACUUGUAUAAGAGUUAGUUUGGAAACAUAUUCAGAUUUCAACCCUGGAAAUGGACAUGGCUGACAAGAGACCAACUGUUAACUUUGGAGCACAGUGAGAUCUGUAAAGAAAUCCAGAACAUCAGUGACAAGAUACAGGAGUGAAUUUUCAUCCAAGAUAGACCAACUCAACCUACUGGUUUCCAGUCGACAGGAAAAAAUGUCAAAAUUAAACCUUCAACAUCAGCAGAAAAUGAGGGCUACAUAGGAAAGCAUGCAGCAGCUUAGAAUUUCAGCCCUGAAAAUGGGCAUGGCUGACAAGAGACUAACUGUAAAUUUUGGAGCACAGAUUUCAGCCCUGAAAAUGGGCAUGGCUGACAAGAGACUAACUGUAAAUUUUGGAGCACAG